GCCACUUAAACGCGCCUGCGCAGUUGCAACAUAUGCGUGCACAUACUCAUGGGGAACAUGGACAUCUGCGCGGGAACAGCUGCAAUUGGCGAACGAUCAGUCUGGAUGUAAAGCAUUCCCUGUGGCUAAUCCAAUUUUGAUAACUCAAAUUUGAAGCCCAAUAAUAAAUUUUACAUGUUCCAAGCCUUUGAUUUCACCUCCAUCCAUUGCGUCAUUCCGAAUUAAAACAAUCUCCAUUGAACAAAUCAAAAGAAAAGGAAAACCAAGUACUCCAAAGUAGCCGAUCUCGAAAGCGAGAAUUAACGAGCGAUCUCGAAAUCGUGAGGGUUGUCUUAAUUAGAUCGCGACUCCGUCUUCGUCGGUGUUCUUUUUCAAACUCGAGGGCACACGCUGUUGGAAAUCGUUGAAACGAUGCAGAAAUAACGAGAACCGGAAAGGAGAGAGAAAGAAAGAGAAAGAGGAGUUUGAAGUGCAUGGUGGGCCCUCGACCGAUCAAAGCAGAUUCGCAAAGUUGGCCCAAAGAACAAGGAAUACCGAGUGGCUCUCCUCUCGUCGAAUGUAUCAACGAUCAAAGGGUUAAUACGCGUUGGAAAUUCCUUUUUUUCCGUUCUCAAAAGGAUUGAAGAUGAAGUUGUUUCGCAAAAUUUUGACGAUUGAGGAGGAAAAUUAAAAAAUUUAUUGAGAAAGAGGAAAAUUUUAUAAGAAAUUUAAUGUAUAUACUUUUGUUCAAUAAUUGGAAAGAAAUUGGAUGAAUAAUGAUUAAUGGAUAUUUUUCAAGUAAAAACUUUUUGUGAAAUAAAAUUGAUCAUGAUUUAUACCGAGUAUUAAAAUUUUAUCAGAAAUAAUAGAAAAUGCAGAGAAUCAGAGAAUAAAAUGGAUGCGACACCCACGCGUGGCUUUUAUAGUAACCGGAAUAAAAAACGAUAAAUGGUUCUCCAAAAAUAACCCUUACAGUUCUUUUAAGCAGUCUAUAAGACGCUUCUUAUACGUCUUCGUGCAAAAUUCACGAAUGCACUUUUAUCUUUCUCAUUCAUGGAAUCCUUACGAAAAAAAAAAAAAA
Molecule: long non-coding RNA, 1060 nt
Organism: Apis mellifera (honey bee)
Lineage: Eukaryota; Metazoa; Arthropoda; Insecta; Hymenoptera; Apidae
Exons: 3
Source: RefSeq, a predicted model, not a curated record